AAAAAGGCAUUUCAUACGGGAACAUACGUUUUCCUUUUCUUCUCUUCCUCAAAGACCAGCCAUCCUGAACCAAACACUUAAAGCAACCAUCGCUGU
Etheostoma cragini (Arkansas darter) is the source of this 96-nucleotide long non-coding RNA. RefSeq lists it as uncharacterized. Lineage: Eukaryota; Metazoa; Chordata; Actinopteri; Perciformes; Percidae. The transcript is spliced from 3 exons. The record is from RefSeq and is a predicted model, not a curated record.